CAAGACAUGAAGUUAGGUCAGCAAACCCGCUGAAUUUAAGCAUAUAAGUAAGCGGAGGAUAAGAAACUAAAUAGGAUUCCCUCAGUAAUGGCGAAUGAACAGGGAUAAGCUCAGCUUGGAAAUUGGGCCCUCUGGGCUUGAAUUGUAGUCUUUCGAUGGCAUUGCCAGCGGAGGCGCAGAUGUAAGCCUCUUGGAAAAGAGCAUCAAUGAGGGUGAGAGUCCCGUUUGUCAUCUGCAGUCCUCUGUUUACGGUGUGCUUUCUAAGAGUCACGUUCCUUGGGACUGGAGCGCAAAUUGGGUGGUAAAUUUCAUCUAAAGCUAAAUAUUGGUUCGAGACCGAUAGCAAACAAGUACCAUGAGGGAAAGGUGAAAAGGACUUUGAAAAGAGAGUUAAAAGUGCCUGAAAUUGCUGAAAGGGAAGCGAAUGGAACCAGUCUUCUUGGUGAGAUUGUUGUGCGCUAUUGUGAUUGCUUUCUGCUUCAACGCAAGUGUUGCAGUGGGUUUUGAGCAUGACGCGCACUUUGUUUCUCACCUCGUGUGUCAACGUCGGUUCAGAUUUGAGGAAAACUCUAGGGACAUGGGUAAUUGCUCGCGAGUGAUUGAAUGUGCCUGGUAGAACUCAUGUCUAAACUGAUUUCCGCAUGUCUGGUCGCAGUGUUCUCAUUACCUGCGUCUGGGUUCGUGGCUUGUAGCUUCUGUUACUCGUCGCGGGCUCUGGGCCUGGUCGUGGAGCAUCUCCCUGACAUUAGUACGAUGACAAAAUGGUUUCAUUCGACCCGUCUUGAAACACGGACCAAGGAGUCUAACAUAUGUGCAAGUUCACGGGUGUUAAACCUGAUUGCGCAAUGAAAGUGACUGCUGGGAUAUUUGCACCAGCAACCGACCAAUCAAUUGUGAGAGGUUUGAGUAUGAGCAUAUCUGUUAGGACCCGAAAGAUGGUGAACUAUGCGUGAGAAGGGUGAAGUCAGG
RNAcentral lists this ribosomal RNA (969 nucleotides) under Karlodinium veneficum. RNAcentral describes it as "LSU rRNA". It matches the Rfam family "Eukaryotic large subunit ribosomal RNA", at positions 1 to 856 of the family's 3401-position model. The record is from RNAcentral. Lineage: Eukaryota; Dinophyceae; Gymnodiniales; Kareniaceae.